This 429-nucleotide ribosomal RNA is filed under the name Bacteroidota bacterium. RNAcentral's name for it is "Bacteroidetes bacterium partial 16S ribosomal RNA". It matches the Rfam family "Bacterial small subunit ribosomal RNA", at positions 355 to 776 of the family's 1533-position model. Lineage: Bacteria; Pseudomonadati; Bacteroidota. The record is from RNAcentral.
UAGGGAAUCUUCCGCAAUGGACGCAAGUCUGACGGAGCAACGCCGCGUGAGUGAAGAAGGAUUUCGGUUCGUAAAACUCUGUUGUUAGAGAAGAACAGCGCAUAGAGUAACUGUUAUGCGUGUGACGGUAUCUAACCAGAAAGCCACGGCUAACUACGUGCCAGCAGCCGCGGUAAUACGUAGGUGGCAAGCGUUGUCCGGAUUUAUUGGGCGUAAAGCGAGCGCAGGCGGUCAAUUAAGUCUGAUGUGAAAGCCCCCGGCUCAACCGGGGAGGGUCAUUGGAAACUGGUUGACUUGAGUGCAGAAGAGGGGAGUGGAAUUCCAUGUGUAGCGGUGAAAUGCGUAGAUAUAUGGAGGAACACCAGUGGCGAAGGCGACUCUCUGGUCUGUAACUGACGCUGAGGCUCGAAAGCGUGAGUAGCAAGCAGG